Molecule: ribosomal RNA, 483 nt
Filed under: uncultured bacterium
Lineage: Bacteria
Description: partial 16S ribosomal RNA
Rfam family: Bacterial small subunit ribosomal RNA
Source: RNAcentral
AUUGAACGCUGGCGGCAGGCCUAACACAUGCAAGUCGAGCGGAAGAAGGGAGCUUGCUCCUGGAUUCAGCGGCGGACGGGUGAGUAAUGCCUAGGAAUCUGCCUGGUAGUGGGGGAUAACGUCCGGAAACGGGCGCUAAUACUGCAUACGUCCUGAGGGAGAAAGUGGGGGAUCUUCGGACCUCACGCUAUCAGAUGAGCCUAGGGCGGAUUAGCUAGUUGGUGGGGUAAAGGCCUACUAAGGCGACGAUCCGCAACUGGUCUGAGAGGAGGAUCAGUCACAAGGGAGCUGAGACACGGGCCAGACUCCGACGUGAGGCAGCAGGUGGGAAUAUUGGAAAAUGGGCGAAAGCCUGAUCCAGCCAGGCCGCGUGGGUGAAGAAGGGCUGCGGAUUGUAAAGCACUUUAAGUUGGGAGGAAGGGCAGUAAGUUAAUACCUGGCUGUUUUGACGUUACCAACAGAAUAAGCACCGGCUAACUUCGG